RNAcentral lists this long non-coding RNA (521 nucleotides) under Gallus gallus (chicken). RNAcentral's name for it is "lncRNA (ENSGALG00010012423.1)". Lineage: Eukaryota; Metazoa; Chordata; Aves; Galliformes; Phasianidae. The record is from RNAcentral.
AGCUUCUUUUUUGCGUGAGAGAGUAAAGGACACUGGCUCAUUUGAGAUCCCUAGACAUGUUAAAAAAUAGUGGAAGAAAAAAGUACAAGAAAACACACUCACGGAACUGCUGAGGUGACGUAACCAGAAAAAUAUGCUUGCAAAUCUGUGUACCAUUUCAGAAAUGAGUCUAAAGGGAUUUCAUCCAUCAAACGGAACAAUAUAAUGACUUUUGAUCUCUACUAAAGUGGUGAGAGAAUGGAAAUAAGAAAAAAAAAGAAGGAAAAAAAGCAGUAGAGAAGAGAGAGAAUGAAGGAAGCUGAGUCUGGAGACUGUCUUUCCUGCUGACGGUGAAUGAAGACUGCAAUAUUCUCUGCUGCAAGUCCAUCUGCUCUUGAACCUCUCUUAAAAAGAUCUAUCUAACAAUAUUCUUCCUUUGGAGUUUCCAGUGCUGCUUAUGAAGACUUGAAAGCAGACUAUUCACAUGCUACAGAUAUGAGAAGUGAAUCAUCAAGGAUCACAGCUGAAAGCUUUGAAGAGGU